This 263-nucleotide long non-coding RNA is filed under the name Elaeis guineensis (African oil palm). RNAcentral describes it as "long non-coding RNA (EGUI_LNC064897)". The record is from RNAcentral. Lineage: Eukaryota; Viridiplantae; Streptophyta; Magnoliopsida; Arecales; Arecaceae.
ACACAAAAAUCAUAUGUUUCAUUUGAAUUUUUAUUCUGAGCAAAUUCUACAUCACAAUGAUAAUACAGUGAACCUUUAGUGUGCCAACAUCUCUAACGUCUAAAUUUCCACAAUUAUCAAAGCGAAUCCUGAUAACUUCGAUCAACGUAAUCAAUAAAUUCCCUUGCAUUUUCUGCUUUUAAUUUUGCAAAUAUCAGCAAUUAUUUGAGAUAGCCAAACAGAAUCGCCACAUCCCAUCCCAGGAUAGAGAUAAAAUUAAUUCA